This 7507-nucleotide long non-coding RNA is filed under the name Homo sapiens (human). RNAcentral describes it as "HSALNT0246832". Lineage: Eukaryota; Metazoa; Chordata; Mammalia; Primates; Hominidae. The record is from RNAcentral.
GCUGGGACUACAGGCGCCCGCCAUGAUGCCCGGCUAAUUUUUUGUAUUUUUAGCAGAGACGGGGUUUCACCCUGUUAGCCAGGAUGGUCUCAUCUCCUGACCUCGUGAUCCGCCCGCCUAGGCCUCCCAAAGUGCUGGGAUUACAGGCGUGAGCCACCGCGCCCGGCCUAAUAAAGGACAAUUUUUAAUAGCCACUGGACUAUUUAAGUGAUCUCUUCUGUCAGUUUCUUUUACCAUCAGAGGACACAGCAGCAAGGUGCCAUCCUAGAAGCAGAGAGCAGACCCUUACCAGACAACCAACCAGCUGGUGCCAUGAUCUUGGACUUCUCGGCCUCCAGAACUCAACAACAAGAAACAAAUUUAUUAGCUAACCUAACCACUAAUGACGCAAGAGACAAUUCUAAGGACUUUCAAAACAGCAAAGUAGGAGCAGCUGCUACCUCUAGGGAUGAGGGAGAAACUCAAAAAUGCAUACAAAAACCAUUGCAUGAAAAGUGACUGGAUUUGUACAUAGCGUCAGGAGAUGUGCGUAGUGUCAAAGUAUCUCAUCACACAUUACUUGAUAAUUACAAAUGAGAAAAAUGAACCUUCACAGUGGCAAGACUUGACUUCUACCUCUUUCAAAAAGAUGCAAUUGUCCAAUUAUUGGUGAAAUUGUCAUUUCAUGCUAUUGGCUAUUUGAAAUUCCUCCUCUAAUUUCAGAAUAAAUCACUGAAAUUGACAUCGGCCAGUCUGAAUUUCAAGAAAUUACCUGCUGAAGACAAGAGGGAUCUCUUCUUCAGAUUUGCAGUCUGGGGAAGACACAGCCUCUACUGUACUUUAGAACCUGAGAUAUGGUGGUGGAGGGAGCCCUGGGUCGAGUGGUAAGAUUCACCCUUAGAGCCCACUUAUGUGUGCAUGAAGAACAAGACUAUUUUAAGCAACUGAACAAGGUCAGAGCUCCGGACUCCAGCCCCAUGCAACUUCAAAAUAUGACAAAUGUCUUGAAGGGGAGAUUGGCAUGCAGAUGAGGAAGGCCCUCUCGCCAACACAUUUGUAUUUCCUCUGUACUGUGAGACUGUGGGAGAUUUACUGCGACAUUUAGAAGCUUUCUUCCAAACUCCUGGGCCUCCGACACUGGUUCUAAACUCAGCAAAUGUUCUUUGGGAAAAACAGACAGUGCAUGUGAGGCCCCUCGAGUUUGGAAUUUAUGUCUCCAGCUUCACAUGGUCUCUCAAGUGCUUAUGCUUUUCUUCUCUCUGCCACCCACAUUCCCACAUCCCGCCCACCCCCCAACUUUCCUCCCUUCACCUUCCCAUGGAGACUUUUUGCCUGGGCUAAAUCUGAUCCUCAGCCCACUCUCAGAAUCGAUAAAUGCCCCUAGGUGAUUGUAAGCUCACCUAAGAUAUACUUUUUCUCCUCUAGAAUUUUAGUUUAUUAGAUUUUUCUAGUUGUCUUUGCAAAAGCGUUAACAGGCUCUGACUUCUGACAUUCAACUAGAUGUGGAAUAUCCAACCCCUAGCAUUUCAUGGAAUGUACUGACCAAGAUAAAAUGUGUUCUUAUUAAACAAUGCCAUUUCUUGACCACUUCUGUUUUUAGGAAUUGUGGUAUCUGAGUCAUGGUGAUUAGAAGUACUAAUGAAAUAAAUGGGAAAAUUAAACUUCUACUAACAUUUCAUAUAGUAGGGAGAUGUCUGUGAAGAAUUAUAACUGGUACAGAUUUUGUGUUUAUAAACAAGGAGACAGAAAAUGCAGAAAAUAAAAAAUAUUUUAUUUAGUUUUAAAGUGGUCAGAGUACUUUGUUUCUAAUCUCAUAACAUUAACUAGCAACAGAUUGAACUUUUAAGCAAAUUCCUCUGACCUAGUAGCUACUAGGAUUACCUACUGCAUGUAGAAACCAUUCUUAACUUGAGGGCCACAUAAAAAGAGGCCAUUGUCAGUAAUUUGCCAACCCUUGAUCCAGACCAUGUAUUGCUCUACCUCUAAACCAUAGUUGCUUCAUUUGCUUAAGUCUUUUCACAUAAUAAAACCCUUAUUAUAAGGAGGUGGUGCUGUUACCAGGACAACCAGGAACUGGGCCUCUACUAUUGUCAGCUGAAUUCUCUGCUCCGUUGUCAAUUCUCAACUCCAUUUCUGGCUUACCUCAAACAGAGUCACAAGAAAGUAAAUAUUUUGCAAUCUUCUUGUCCUUAGCUGUUCGUUCCUCCAGAAUGACAUAGAGAUUUGUAAAUAUUCACUGGAAUUCAAUGGCUUCAUGCAUUCUAUUUCCACAAACAAAUCCUGAUACAUUUCUCUCCUUCAAUAUAAAGUACUCAUUUUCUGAUCCGUAUUAGCCAGCAUCUUGCACUCCAAAUAACCAGUAACAAAAAGAUCCAUGGGUUGAGGUGAGAUUAUUGCUUUAGAUAGAGAAGUAUCUGACCAUUGUUAAUUACUUUGAAAACAGAUAUGUCAAAAAAGAUAAAACAUACAUUUAUUGUCCCUGACAAUUUACAAACCAAAAUAUACCAUAAUGCAACAAACUAUCUGGGUUGUGGCUUAUCUCCUCAGUUGAAACACUAUUGCCAAUGCUAAACAAUGGAACACAGUAUUUGGCUAUUGGCUAAAGAAAAUGAUGUUCAUACAGCUUAGACAGAAAUUAGUCAUUGAGUCACUAGAGACUAUAAGCAGCAUAUGAAUGCCUGAAACUUACAGAAGAAUCAAUACAGGCUAUUAAACUCUCAUUUCUUAGAAUACCGUAUACUUGCGUGUUUAAACUGACAUCUUAAAAAGUUUUGUAAAGAGCAAUUCAAACUCACAGCAUGAUAAAUAAUCUUUAGGUUUAAUGAGACCUCAAGAACUAGACCAGCUUGAAGCAUGCCAUCUUACCUAGUUACUUAAGAAGCUAGUUUUUCCUUUUGUAACAUGAUCUCAGAAAAAAGAAAAUAUAAUCAUUGUUCUAAGGCAAUCCACAAACUCUGUUACUCCCAUUACAUUUUCAAAACUGCAGACACUCAGGGGGUGUCCGAUUCAUGCCUGGGGCCAUGUGAAACACCCACCUCUGUGAGUAGCUUUAUUAACUCUAUAAACACUUCAAGACAUUCCUAGCAGUGUGGGGUAGCACACAUAUCUAUUGUCUAUCUUAGGUUUGGAAUCAUUUUUCCUCUUAAAAAUAACACACUGAACCAAUUAGCUUUUCUAAAUCAAAUUAACCUAAUAGCAUUCAAAAACUGACAAACAUAAUCUGCUUGUUCUAAGACAAAAGUGGAUUAGUGAACAGAAUCAUAUCUCUAGUCAGGUCCAAAUCAAGUUAUAAAUUCUAACCAAACAGUGAUUGCUGGAAUAAGUCAUAUUAUUAGUAUGCAUAGUCAUACUGAUCUCAAAUGUAAGCAACAUAGGCCUUUUCAGCAGGGAGAUAUAAAAGUUUAGAGUUGAAGAAUGUCUUUUCAUGUUGUGGUAGAGAGCUUGUUUCCUUUGACGUACAUGGCUCCCUCAAGCCUUAGGCUAUUUAGUUACAUCCCUUGUAGUCACAGGAAGGAAUAGCACUCCUCAUUUUUCUAUACCAUCUUUUAGGCAUGUUAUUGUUUAAUACUUUUUUUUUUGUUGCCUGCCUGCUGCUUGUUAGUAUAUGCACCAAAGCAAAUGAGGUAAGACUUCAAUGCAUCAAAUGCUUUUCCUUAAAACAACAUUUUUAUUGAAAUAUGAAACAAAUAUUUUUAUUACCUUCUUUAUAGAAGUAUUUUUUAAAGAAUAGUGAUUGAUAAUAUUGACAGAAAGGAGGACCUAUGAAUUAUCUAUAAAUUAUCUUUAUAUUUGAACUAUUCACAAAUGCAGAAAAUUUAAAAAUCAAAUACAUUUUUCACUUGCUAAUAUAUCUUUUCAUGAGACAUUAUCCUAUAAAAUCCACAGAGGGAUGUGUCCAUUUCUAUUCUCUGCCAACCCUUUUGGUACCACCCAUUGGACAUAACAUUUAGAAUUAAAUUAAGGUUAUCACUAUUGUUAAGCAAAUACUAUUAGAGGUUAGACUGGCAGGUCUUCAGAAAUAGCUCACACUGGAGCCAUGCAUCUCAGUACUCACACUCCUGUGUAGCCUCCUUUCCUUGAAUCUGAGAAUCUGAGAUGGUCCUGUAACUUGUUUUUAACCAGAAGAACAUGGUAGAAGUGAUACUGCCUGACUUCUGAGAUAAAAUUGUAAGAUUCCUUGCAGAUUUUCACCUAGGUCCCUUGGAAUGAGUACCCUGGAAAAAGCCAGCAGACACCACGCUGUGAGCAAAUGCCCAACCUAGCCAAGCAGUGGAGCAACAUGGGGAAAACGGAGAUACGUGGACAUUCUCCAGCUAUUUCAGUCAACCCAGCCAAGGAGAAGACAUGUGAGUGUAGAUGCUAUUGUAUAUGUCUAGGCCAGUAAAGCCUUUAGCAAGCUGGAGCCCCAGCAGCUAUUUGAAUUCAAUGAGAGACCCCAAGUGAGAGCCACCAUAUUGACCCAAUCAACACACCGAAGUGUGAGAGAGAAUAAUUAAGUGCUAGCCUAAGCCACUGAAUUUUGAGGGUGGUUUGUUACACAGCAAUCAACCAAAGCAAAGAUAUUGGUUACUUGUUUGGGGGUUUCAUUUUUAAUUAUAACAUUCCAUGGCUUCUAAACAAAUUUUGCACUUAUAAUUUUAUCAAUUUACUGAUAAUCCUGCUGUCCUUGUUUUGUAUCUACAAUGCUUAGAUUAGAAAAUCUAAUGGAGAAGUGUGUGUGUUUGUGUGUGUGUGUGUGUGUGUGUGUGUGUGUAUUUCACUCUUUUAUAUAAUGGAUUUUGAGGAACAACUAGAUUGGCUUUCUAAGAGAGGGGGAAAUGCUUCUGAAUAUUUUAAGUAAAAUUUUGAUCUACAACAACUCUGCUGUAAAUGUUUAAUAUAAUAUUAUUUUGAGACUUUGCAUGAGCUAAAAACAUCUAAAGCUAAUAAAGCCAGGCUUUUAAAGAGAAAAAGAGUAAUUAUAGGUUGCCUGUAAGAAACUCACUUACUUUACUUUUUUAUUUAUCUAUUUUUUAACUUAUCAUUUUAGAUACUCUCUGAAUUUUAAUUGUAGUGUUUAGAUGUUGAUCUGUCUUUACAUGUCAAACAUUUAAAUUAACUCUUUUGCCUGAAAGAAGAAAUACCAAGAUACAUAAAUUGAAUAAAAGGAGUGGUCUUGAGCACCAUAAAAAUACAAUGUUUGGGCCGGGCAUGGUGGCUCAUGCCUGUAAUCCCAGCACUUUGGGAGGCCGCAGCUGGUGGAUCACGAGGCCAGGAGAUUGAGACCAUCAUGACUAACACAAUGAAACCCCAUCUCUACUAAAAAUACAAAAGCAAAUUAGCCAGGCGUGGUGGCAUGCACCUGUAGUCUCAGCUACUCGGGAGGCUGAGGCAGGAGAAUUGCUUGAACCCAGCAGGUGAAGGUUGCAGUGAGCUGAGAUCACACCACUGCACUCCAGCCUGGGUGACAGAGAGAGACUCCGUCUCAAAGAAAAACAAAACGAUGUUUCAAAAUCUACACAGAAAAGAAAAAGAGGGGAGAAGAAAACUAAAAAGAGACUCUAAGAAAAAUAUUGAAGAAGAAGAUGGUUGGUGAAGGGGAUAUUGCUCUAGUACUAGUAUUUCUUUAGGCAGCUGUUUAAUGUUGCCUCUGAAUAAGUACAUAUUUUAAGGCAGUUAACAAUCUGGUUUAUGAAAAAAUGGGAAAUCACUGUGUGUUAGUGAGCCAGACAGAUGUGUAUAGUGUGGAUAGGGUUCUCUCUUUAAAAUGCACAGAACUGGAAUUUAGCGUUAACCUCAUAAGCACUUGAUGUUCAUGUGGGUGCUCACCAGGCAAUAUGCUCCAGCUAUUGAACAGAAUGCAUUCACUUGCUGUAUACUGAGUGGUCCCCUAGUAAGCUGGAAAAAGUUGUACUUAUGUCAUGUUUAAUUUAUAUAGUGUAGACAUCAUGAAUAAUUAAAUUUAAUAACUACUCAAUGUCAGUGUUUAUAUAUGGCUAGUAGCCAAUAUUUUUUGGUUCUUCAAGAAGAAAGGUACAUGUCUUAGGAAAACUUGAUACAGGAAAAUAUCAGUAUUCUCACUUCAGAGUCAUUCCUUUGGGGAAAAAAAAAGGCUACAAAUUUCCUAACUACGUGUUAAGCAUUGGUGCAGGCAUUGAUAAAGUUUGGAUGUUUGUCCCCCACAAAUGUCAUAUUGAAAUGUAAUCCCCAAUGAAGACGGGGCCUGGUAGGAGGUGUUGGCAUCCUGGGGUCAGAUCUCUCAUGAAUGGCUUGGUGUUGUCCUUGGGAUAGUGAGUAAGUUCUUGCGAGAUCUAGUUGUUUAAGAGUCUGGCACCUCCUCCCUCUCUCUCUUGCUCCCUCGCUCUCACCAUGUGACAUGCUUGCUCUCCCUUCACCUUCUGCUAUGAUUGGAAGCUUACUGAGGCCCUCACUAUGAGCAGAUGCUGGAACAAUGCUUAUACAGCCUGCAGAACUGUGAGCCAAUUAAACUUCUUUUCACAUUACCCAGCCUCGGGUAUUUCUUUAUAGCAAUGCAAGAGUUGGCUAACAUGGGCAUAGAGGGCAUAUAGCAGCUACAUUUGCCUGAGGUGUAUAGCAAAGGUGGUGUCAGGAAAGGUUAGCAUUGAGCUUUGUUCUUUAAAGUGAGUAAGUUACCAGGAUGGUAAAGGAGUAUCGAUGCAAAGUAAGGAGUGGAGAAAUACAUUUUAAGUGGAGGGAAUUAUUUAAAACAGGGCCCGAAUGUCUUCCUCGGGUGUUGCCAUAUAUUGUAUCUGAACAUCUUAUAUAGUAUUUAUUAUUUGAUGAUGUAAAAUCAGUUUCUUAUUGUUUCCUUCUUUCUCUAGAUUGCAAGCUUAGGGGGCAGCAAUAAUACGUCACUUAUGUUUGAGUCCUAAUUCCUCAUACAGUCUUUGGCAUAAAUAAUAGGCACUCAGUAAUUACUAUAAAUAAAGAAAGAAAAUAGCUGUAGUAAAAAUGGAUAACAUUUGUUGUAACAGUUUCAUUUAGAUAUUUAUGAGAGUGUUAGAGCUCCCUGUUAUAUUGUAAGAUUUUUUAGGGAAGGGAUCUUGCAUAAGUUUUAUCCUUUAAAUGGUGCCUGACUCAUAGUUAGAACCCUAUGGAAAGCAAAUUAUAGUCCUUUACAUUUCUUUAAUCAGCCAGGGCCUAAUUUAACCCUAUACGUUUAUAUAAAGGGCAGAAAUUAUUACAAUAAAUAAUCUUGAAACAGCAGAAUUCUGCAUUACAAAUAUGAGGCUGCCAUAUUUCUGUGUUUCUGGUUGCCUAGAAACAAAAAUGUGAAGUUGUAUGAAACUAUAAGAGUUUGUACUCAUAAGAUAUUCUAUGCAAAGUUCAGCCUGCCUCUCUGGGUUUGGAAAGCAUCAAUUCUGAGGAGCUUCAGACAAUAUUGCGGUCUUCAUAGCUGAAAGUUUGCAAAGUUGGGCUUGUUUCAUGGUAUUACCGGCAUAUCCAAUUAGCUAAAGAAAAUAAUUCUUCAUUUAGAGUAUCCAGAACAGACCAAUAACAAUAUUGUUCAAUAACAACUGCUCUAAAU